UACGGAGGAUGCGAGCGUUAUCCGGAUUUAUUGGGUUUAAAGGGUGCGUAGGCGGGAUGCCAAGUCAGCGGUCAAAUACGGGGGCUCAACCUGCGUCCGCCGUUGAAACUGGCGUUCUUGAGUGGGCGAGAAGUACGCGGAAUGCGUGGUGUAGCGGUGAAAUGCAUAGAUAUCACGCAGAACCCCGAUUGCGAAGGCAGCGUACCGGCGCCCAACUGACGCUGAGGCACGAAAGCGUGGGGAUCAAACAGG
RNAcentral lists this ribosomal RNA (252 nucleotides) under uncultured bacterium. RNAcentral's name for it is "partial 16S ribosomal RNA". It matches the Rfam family "Bacterial small subunit ribosomal RNA", at positions 524 to 776 of the family's 1533-position model. The record is from RNAcentral.